This 398-nucleotide ribosomal RNA is filed under the name uncultured bacterium. RNAcentral describes it as "partial 16S ribosomal RNA". It matches the Rfam family "Bacterial small subunit ribosomal RNA", at positions 523 to 918 of the family's 1533-position model. The record is from RNAcentral.
AUACGUAGGGUGCGAGCGUUGUCCGGAAUUACUGGGCGUAAAGAGCUCGUAGGUGGUUUGUCGCGUCGUCUGUGAAAUUCCGGGGCUUAACUCCGGGCGUGCAGGCGAAACGGGCAUAACUUGAGUACUGUAGGGGAGACUGGAAUUCCUGGUGUAGCGGGGAAAUGCGCAGAUAUCAGGAGGAACACCGGUGGCGAAGGCGGGUCUCUGGGCAGUAACUGACGCUGAGGAGCGAAAGCAUGGGUAGCGAACAGGAUUAGAUACCCUGGUAGUCCAUGCCGUAAACGGUGGGCGCUAGGUGUAGGGGUCUUCCACGACUUCUGUGCCGUAGCUAACGCAUUAAGCGCCCCGCCUGGGGAGUACGGCCGCAAGGCUAAAACUCAAAGGAAUUGACGGGG